This 347-nucleotide long non-coding RNA is filed under the name Vombatus ursinus (common wombat). RNAcentral's name for it is "lncRNA (ENSVURG00010005856.1)". The record is from RNAcentral. Lineage: Eukaryota; Metazoa; Chordata; Mammalia; Diprotodontia; Vombatidae.
GGGGUUAGAUGGAAAAUGAAAGGGGAGGCUUUCUGCUUUCCCCCGACCGCUGGAAGCUGGACUUGAAUGCCCGCAGCUGGCCGAGCUUCGUGAGUUGGCCGAGCGAGUACUUUCGUCCGAGUCUUGACAGAAUGCUUCUCUGCUGAACUUUGCCAAAUGCUACUUCCCUGGACCACUGAUGGAUACUGGCAGACAUGUUGUCUCUGGCAAAUGUGUAGUCUUAACUGGACAUUGCUUUGCUGGAGAGAAACUUGAAGCCCUUGGUCAGUACUUAUGGUGAGUAUGCUAUAAGUUUCACAAUUUACUUUACUUUCUGUUUCUCUGUCUGUCUGUCUGUCUGUCUCUCU